AUAGAACGCUGGCGGAAUGCUUUACACAUGCAAGUCGAACGGUAGAGGGGGCAACCCCUCGAGAGUGGCGAACGGGUGAGUAAUAUAUCGGAACGUGCCCAGUCGUGGGGGAUAACGUAGCGAAAGUUACGCUAAUACCGCAUACGAUCUAAGGAUGAAAGCGGGGGAUCGCAAGACCCCGCGCGAUUGGAGCGGCCGAUAUCAGAUUAGGUAGUUGGUGGGGUAAAGGCUCACCAAGCCAACGAUCUGUAGCUGGUCUGAGAGGACGACCAGCCACACUGGAACUGAGACACGGUCCAGACUCCUACGGGAGGCAGCAGUGGGGAAUUUUGGACAAUGGACGCAAGUCUGAUCCAGCCAUUCCGCGUGCAGGAUGAAGGCCCUCGGGUUGUAAACUGCUUUUGUACGGAACGAAAAGGUCUCUCUUAAUACGGGGGACUCAUGACGGUACCGUAAGAAUAAGCACCGGCUAACUACGUGCCAGCCGCCGCCGUAA
Molecule: ribosomal RNA, 496 nt
Filed under: uncultured bacterium
Lineage: Bacteria
Description: partial 16S ribosomal RNA
Rfam family: Bacterial small subunit ribosomal RNA
Source: RNAcentral